UGGGAUGAUACUGGCGGAACGCAGGAC
This 27-nucleotide non-coding RNA is filed under the name Homo sapiens (human). The record is from RNAcentral. Lineage: Eukaryota; Metazoa; Chordata; Mammalia; Primates; Hominidae.